RNAcentral lists this ribosomal RNA (372 nucleotides) under Bacillus toyonensis. RNAcentral's name for it is "bacterial LSU rRNA". It matches the Rfam family "Bacterial large subunit ribosomal RNA", at positions 743 to 1114 of the family's 2925-position model. The record is from RNAcentral. Lineage: Bacteria; Bacillati; Bacillota; Bacilli; Caryophanales; Bacillaceae.
GGCUGAAGGUGCGGUAACACGCACUGGAGGGCCGAACCGUUCAAUGUUGAAAAAUUGUCGGAUGAGUUGUGUUUAGGGGUGAAAGGCCAAUCAAACCGGGAAAUAGCUGGUUCUCCGCGAAAUCUAUUGAGGUAGAGCGUCGGACGUAUACCGUUGGGGGUAGAGCACUGGAUGGAUGCGGGGGUCGCGAGAUCUACCAACUCUAACCAAACUCCGAAUACCAACGAGAUUUAUCCGGCAGACAGACGGCGGGUGCUAAGGUCCGUCGUCAAAAGGGAAACAGCCCUAACCUACAGCUAAGGUCCCCAAGUCACGUCUAAGUGGGAAAGCAUGUGGGAAUCCCAAAACAACCAGGAUGUUGGCUUAGAAGCA